This 324-nucleotide ribosomal RNA is filed under the name uncultured eukaryote. Its description in RNAcentral is "partial 18S ribosomal RNA". It matches the Rfam family "Eukaryotic small subunit ribosomal RNA", at positions 1470 to 1796 of the family's 1831-position model. The record is from RNAcentral.
CCCUUAGAUGUUCUGGGCUGCACGCGUGCUACACUGAUACUUUCAGCGAGUCCACCACCUUGCCUGGGAGGGUGGGGUAACCUCUGGAAAGUGCAUCGUGAUGGGGAUCGAUUAUUGUAAUUAUUAAUCUUCAACGAGGAAUUCCUAGUAAGCAUGUGUCAUCAGCCCGUGCUGAUUACGUCCCUGCCCUUUGUACACACCGCCCGUCGCUCCUACCGAUUGAGUGAUCCAGUGAAUUAUUCGGACUGUAACGCAUUCAGUUCUGGAUGCAGUUACGGGAAGUUUUGUGAACCUUACCACUUAGAGGAAGGAGAAGUCGUAACA